This 1497-nucleotide ribosomal RNA is filed under the name Lactiplantibacillus sp. RNAcentral's name for it is "partial 16S ribosomal RNA". It matches the Rfam family "Bacterial small subunit ribosomal RNA". The record is from RNAcentral. Lineage: Bacteria; Bacillati; Bacillota; Bacilli; Lactobacillales; Lactobacillaceae.
GGCUCAGGACGAACGCUGGCGGCGUGCCUAAUACAUGCAAGUCGAACGAACUCUGGUAUUGAUUGGUGCUUGCAUCAUGAUUUACAUUUGAGUGAGUGGCGAACUGGUGAGUAACACGUGGGAAACCCGCCCAGAAGCGGGGGAUAACACCUGGAAACAGAUGCUAAUACCGCAUAACAACUUGGACCGCAUGGUCCGAGCUUGAAAGAUGGCUUCGGCUAUCACUUUUGGAUGGUCCCGCGGCGUAUUAGCUAGAUGGUGGGGUAACGGCUCACCAUGGCAAUGAUACGUAGCCGACCUGAGAGGGUAAUCGGCCACAUUGGGACUGAGACACGGCCCAAACUCCUACGGGAGGCAGCAGUAGGGAAUCUUCCACAAUGGACGAAAGUCUGAUGGAGCAACGCCGCGUGAGUGAAGAAGGGUUUCGGCUCGUAAAACUCUGUUGUUAAAGAAGAACAUAUCUGAGAGUAACUGUUCAGGUAUUGACGGUAUUUAACCAGAAAGCCACGGCUAACUACGUGCCAGCAGCCGCGGUAAUACGUAGGUGGCAAGCGUUGUCCGGAUUUAUUGGGCGUAAAGCGAGCGCAGGCGGUUUUUUAAGUCUGAUGUGAAAGCCUUCGGCUCAACCGAAGAAGUGCAUCGGAAACUGGGAAACUUGAGUGCAGAAGAGGACAGUGGAACUCCAUGUGUAGCGGUGAAAUGCGUACAUAUAUGGAAGAACACCAGUGGCGAAGGCGGCUGUCUGGUCUGUAACUGACGCUGGAGGCUCGAAAGUAUGGGUAGCAAACAGGAUUAGAUACCCUGGUAGUCCAUACCGUAAACGAUGAAUGCUAAGUGUUGGAGGGUUUCCGCCCUUCAGUGCUGCAGCUAACGCAUUAAGCAUUCCGCCUGGGGAGUACGGCCGCAAGGCUGAAACUCAAAGGAAUUGACGGGGGCCCGCACAAGCGGUGGAGCAUGUGGUUUAAUUCGAAGCUACGCGAAGAACCUUACCAGGUCUUGACAUACUAUGCAAAUCUAAGAGAUUAGACGUUCCCUUCGGGGACAUGGAUACAGGUGGUGCAUGGUUGUCGUCAGCUCGUGUCGUGAGAUGUUGGGUUAAGUCCCGCAACGAGCGCAACCCUUAUUAUCAGUUGCCAGCAUUAAGUUGGGCACUCUGGUGAGACUGCCGGUGACAAACCGGAGGAAGGUGGGGAUGACGUCAAAUCAUCAUGCCCCUUAUGACCUGGGCUACACACGUGCUACAAUGGAUGGUACAACGAGUUGCGAACUCGCGAGAGUAAGCUAAUCUCUUAAAGCCAUUCUCAGUUCGGAUUGUAGGCUGCAACUCGCCUACAUGAAGUCGGAAUCGCUAGUAAUCGCGGAUCAGCAUGCCGCGGUGAAUACGUUCCCGGGCCUUGUACACACCGCCCGUCACACCAUGAGAGUUUGUAACACCCAAAGUCGGUGGGGUAACCUUUUAGGAACCAGCCGCCUAAGGUGGGACAGAUGAUUAGGGUG